GAGGGAGGAAGAGAGAGAGAAAGAGGUUGAAAUAGAGAGAAAUAGAGAGGAUGUGAAGAAAAGAAAACAGAAAGAAAAGAAUGACAGGAGAUUGUGAUGCAUUGAGAAAAAUAGGGUGGGGGGACGGAGGGGGGCGGUGGACAGAAGGUGAAGAGAAAAGGAAAUGAAGAGAGGAAGACAGGAGGAGAGGAAGAGAGGAGGAGAAGAAGACAGGAGGAGG
Long non-coding RNA from Alosa sapidissima (American shad), 220 nucleotides. RefSeq lists it as uncharacterized. The record is from RefSeq and is a predicted model, not a curated record. The transcript has 4 exons. NCBI's taxonomy places the organism in Eukaryota, Metazoa, Chordata, Actinopteri, Clupeiformes, Clupeidae.